Molecule: long non-coding RNA, 228 nt
Organism: Suricata suricatta (meerkat)
Lineage: Eukaryota; Metazoa; Chordata; Mammalia; Carnivora; Herpestidae
Exons: 3
Source: RefSeq, a predicted model, not a curated record
CGUGGAGCAAGCCCCGAACAAAGGCAGGGGUCCCAGAAGGAAAAGAGAAAUAAUGGGGAAGAAGAAUUCACUAACCUGGGAAAGGAAAUGGACAUCCAUGUCUAAAAAGCACCGACUGCCACAAAUCAAAUGAACCCAGGGAGAUCUGCACCACAACACAACUGACAGCAGAGGCAAUAGCCUCUUGGAGCCACGAGUAAAAAGUCAAGAGAAUAAAAAGACAUCAAC